Dipodomys ordii (Ord's kangaroo rat) is the source of this 65-nucleotide non-coding RNA. NCBI's taxonomy places the organism in Eukaryota, Metazoa, Chordata, Mammalia, Rodentia, Heteromyidae. The record is from Rfam.
GGUGGCUCAGUGGUAGAGCACUUGCCUUGCAUGCAUAAGGCCCUGGGUUCAAUUCCUCAGCACCA